Molecule: long non-coding RNA, 1679 nt
Organism: Athalia rosae (coleseed sawfly)
Lineage: Eukaryota; Metazoa; Arthropoda; Insecta; Hymenoptera; Athaliidae
Exons: 3
Source: RefSeq, a predicted model, not a curated record
UCGUCUUUAACUUGAAUGCGUCUCCCUUCCGCGGAAACGACGCGAGCUCCUAUAGCCACGUCGAAUUCUCUUCCAGAUACCGGCUCUAUCCAUAUGUAAUCCCCCUGAAGCCGGUAACAACAAACAAAAGAAAAAAAAUCUUUGCAAUCGCGGGGCUCCACCAGACCAAAGAGAAAGAAUAUGAUAAGAUAAUCCGAAUUUUCAUCGAACAGUCAUUAGGUGACCGUUAUUGGUAUGCGUAUAAUGGUGUUAGAAGGCCUGGCGAACUUUGUAAAUUUUCCUAAUAAAUUUUGUGUGAUGUUUUUCAAUGCUGCUUUCGAGUGUAAAUGUACUAUAACUCAACGAUUGUAAGUAUAUGCCUAGGUUUAUUUCCUGUAAAUUACGUAUCAAAAACUUCAAUCGGGUACCCCUGUAUCUAUUCGUUUGUGAGUAGCAAUAACGAUGUAGAUGGAAAAACUAGAAAUCCGAUAUAUAAGUGAGGGAAUCGGGAAACGGUACGUAGUUCCUAUUUUCCUACAGUAGUAUAUUUACACUAUAAAAUAACUAUUCUUUUGUAGGCGAGCCCGUGAUAGGAAGAGGAGAUCCUCGUUAAUUCCCCGCCCUAAUUGCUCGCCUACCGGAACAUGAUCGGAAGAGCACUUCCGCACUCGGAGCUCAACGCAGGGUCAUCUGCGUCAUUAUAGUUAUAGUUACUCGAUCGUCUGCAUUCACCUAAACCGUUUGAACUAAAAUGUCUGUAAAUUUCCUCAUCACACCUGUUUCUAUAGAACAAACUAUUCCACGAUUCCAAACUCCUCAAUUAUUGAUAUUGAAAUCGAAUGAUCGAGAAGAUCAUGUGGAUAAUAAAAAAUCCUAUGAUACAAAAUGUGUGACCAUGACCAACCCGCGUGACGAUGACCAUUUCUCUGAAUCGAUGGCCGCCACCUGAAACAAGAAUAUUCAUCCUUCUUAUUCAACAUUCUAAUGGAAAAAUAAGUAACGAUCACAGGGAUGAUACAUAGUCACAUACUUAACACGUGACACUUGCCGGAGAUUUACCGUUUAGUACUCAAAAGAAAUUACGCCACUAUAGGUCACGAGGCUCUGCAAUAUGUGUAUAGCCUAGGCGUAUUAUAAACCUUGCGCAACUUAAGUGUGCAGGUACGUCGUACGUAGAUAGUAUAGUAUUCGAGAAUUAUUAAGCUGCUCAUCGUUAAGAAGUUACUCGUUAUGCUCCUGCAUAGAGAGCAACACGAAGAAGAAAAAUUAAGUAACAGAGAGGAGGAUCGAGCACAAAUAUCCUGGUCGAUCACCGUUACCUUCGCGUAUAAGUAUAACUCGAGAGCCAAGUGCCAUGGGAGCGAACCGAGCCAAGUUUAAACCUGUUUGCAAAGUGGGUUAGAUUCGCCACUGCAGCAGAAGCUGGUGAUCAGAAUCGUUGGAAUCAUCCUCGUUGUCGGCUUACCGAUUAGUUUGAAUAAUGUAUUACUCGAUAAUUUGUAAUCACGGGGUGUCGGGAUAAACGUGACACUCGGAAAUAAACAACCCCAAGUAUUUUUCUGGUUUGCUUCGAAGGCUAACAAAACCUCCGAUCUCUCACCUGGAUCUUCUUCUCCAGACCAAACAGGUACCACGAUCUGCAAUACCGACGGAACUUUCGAACACUAAAUACGAUUGCCAAAGAAUGAGUUCACUGGUUU